This 253-nucleotide ribosomal RNA is filed under the name uncultured bacterium. RNAcentral describes it as "partial 16S ribosomal RNA". It matches the Rfam family "Bacterial small subunit ribosomal RNA", at positions 524 to 776 of the family's 1533-position model. The record is from RNAcentral.
UACGUAGGGUGCGAGCGUUAAUCGGAAUUACUGGGCGUAAAGCGUGCGCAGGCGGUUCGUGAUGUCUGGUGUGAAAGCCCCGGGCUUAACCUGGGAAUUGCAUUGGAAACUAGCGGGCUGGAGUACGGCAGAGGGAGGUGGAAUUCCACGUGUAGCAGUGAAAUGCGCAGAGAUGUGGAGGAACACCGAUGGCGAAGGCAGCCUCCUGGGCUAGUACUGACGCUCAUGCACGAAAGCGUGGGGAGCAAACAGG